RNAcentral lists this long non-coding RNA (746 nucleotides) under Equus caballus (horse). RNAcentral describes it as "lncRNA (ENSECAG00000051430.1)". The record is from RNAcentral. Lineage: Eukaryota; Metazoa; Chordata; Mammalia; Perissodactyla; Equidae.
UCCCUGGCUGAGUCCCAGCCCCUGGACACCUCCAGCUGCUGGAGCCGUCCCAGGAGUCAGCGGUUCAGCGGGCAGCCUCCCGACCCCGUGCAGAGUAACAGCUCCCGGGGGUGAAACAUGCCGUGUCUGGGCUAGCACGUUGUCUGCACCCAGGAGAGGAGGAUCCAUCGGGCUGAGGGCGACGCCCCGCCGUGGUGGCAGCAGCACCUGGACUCGUCCAGACUCCCCAGAGACACCCCUCCCCACAAGCAGCUGGGCCCCCACCCACAGCUCAUUGCUGGUCCAGAACCUGGUCUCCCACACAGGAGAGAAGCAAAGGCCCAGUGGGAGAGGAUGCACAGGUCUCGGGCACAAAGCUGUAGAGGCUUUGGGGAACUUUCCAUCUGCGACUGUCAUCAACAGUGCUGCAGGCACAUUCUGCUACCCAGCUGGUGACCAGGUGCAUUUCUGUUGGACAUGCACCUAGAAGUGGUGUCGCUGGUCAAGGACAGCUUGGGACCAGCUUCAGUGGUCAGGGCCACGUGGUUUUCCAAAGUUCCAACACACCAUCUCACCAGCCAGCAAAGACCAGCUGCUCCACGUUCCCACCAAUCUGGGUGUUUUCCAGCAUUGCCACGGAAGCCGUUGGGCCAGGCGUGCAGGGCAUCGACCUGCAUUUCAAUUUGUGUUUGCAUUUUCCUGGUGACGAGUGAAGAUAAGCACCUUCUCAUGUGUUUAUUGGAUUCUGGGUUUCCUUUCUGCAUGUG